RNAcentral lists this unclassified non-coding RNA (353 nucleotides) under Hevea brasiliensis (rubber tree). The record is from RNAcentral. Lineage: Eukaryota; Viridiplantae; Streptophyta; Magnoliopsida; Malpighiales; Euphorbiaceae.
GCCGCAUAGAGCCAAGAUCAAAGAUGCAUUUAGUUAGCCUUCUGUUGACACUUGUUUGGGGGGGUUUAGGAAGUGCUGCAGAUAUUGACGAUCUACCACCCAAUUUUCCACGAUGCCGCCGCGAUGAUCCAGAACUUCAAAAAUGUCUUCUGCAAGCCACAGAAACUGUCAAACCGUACGUGAUCGAAGGAGUGCAAAAUUUUUCCAAAAGUAUCGUCAACUUCACUGUUCCUGGUGUGGUUCUGCAAGCCGGAAAUCAAGCGAUCAACUACAGGGCCGAUGUCAACGAUAUCGUGCUGUACGGACUUGAAAAUUAUAAGUUUGAAUACUUCAAUUAUUUCCCAGAAAACCUG